UGCAAGUUUCAGGGAAGGUGAGAUUCCUUACUGGCGGUAACGGCCGGACCGGCGCAUAACGAUCCGUGCCGGAGCCCGCGCGCCGAGAAUACGGCUGAUUUGGUGAGAUUCCAAGGCCAACGGUUACAGUCCGGAUGAAAGAAACGGAGC
This 150-nucleotide non-coding RNA is filed under the name Bifidobacterium bombi. Its description in RNAcentral is "FMN sequence". It matches the Rfam family "FMN riboswitch aptamer (RFN element)". Rfam says of the family: The RFN element is a highly conserved domain that is found frequently in the 5'-untranslated regions of prokaryotic mRNAs that encode for flavin mononucleotide (FMN) biosynthesis and transport proteins. This element is a metabolite-dependent riboswitch that directly binds FMN in the absence of proteins. RNAcentral also lists the same sequence under 1 other name. Lineage: Bacteria; Bacillati; Actinomycetota; Actinomycetes; Bifidobacteriales; Bifidobacteriaceae. The record is from RNAcentral.